Acanthochromis polyacanthus (spiny chromis) is the source of this 1331-nucleotide long non-coding RNA. RefSeq lists it as uncharacterized. The record is from RefSeq and is a predicted model, not a curated record. The transcript has 2 exons. Lineage: Eukaryota; Metazoa; Chordata; Actinopteri; Pomacentridae.
UUGCUCCUGUUGGUCACUCUACUGUUCUUCGCCCUUAGAGCCGCUGUGGAGGAAGAUGAAGAGGAGGAAGAUGAAGGGCGUGGCCUUUUGACAUGAAUGGAAUCCACUGGGACCGAAGAGGGGACACGCUGCCUCCAUGCAGUUAACCUCCUCCACCUGUCCUUGGCUGCCUGCAGUGAUGUGUUUUCAGACCCCAGCAGACCCCAGCAGGACACUGAGAUGCUGUGUGGAGUUUGUUGCAUUUUGGCUAGUCAUUUUUUAACUUUAACUGGGAAAAGUCAAAUAAGAAAUUGAGGUUGCUGCUUUUCAGAAUCCCUGUGUACUGUGUCCCGUUAACACUAAAGUACACUAAUUAGACCUUUUUUUAAAAAAAAAAAAUCUCUGAUUAGAUAAUAAUUAAGGUAAGAUGAACAAUACAUUUUUACUGUAGUUUUUCUAAACACUGAAAAUUCUGUCCAUGUGUGAUGGUAACUUCUACUUUGCUAACAGGGAAAUAAAAAUAUCCUCACAAGUCUGAUUGCAUUCAGGAGGGUGCUCAGGACUCCUGGCCUGAGGCCAGUCGCCAAACAAAUAUUUUAACUGUGACUCUAUGUGACAGACGCUCAUAUGGAAAGUGCUGCUGUCUGACGUGCAUAUUUUACUCUGUCCAUGUCACAAGGACUACGUGAUUAAAUUUUGGUAGUGAUGCAGCUUUUAGUUUGAAUCCAUGGAUAUGUUCAAGAUUUCUGUAUCAUUGCAAGAUAGCGGCAUAGUGUCACUGUAACCAUGACUACAAGUGAACAUUACGUCAGCUGCCUGCUGUUGAUCACGUGAUUGUGAUCCUACUACAAAUUGACCAUUGCAAACUUAUUCUUCAGAAAUAAUACAAGGAAGAAUUGAUUAAAUUGUGUGGGUGAUUCCUAGUGCCAUCCAUUCCCGGCGCCCGCUACAUAUUUAGGUCCCGCAAUUCGGUAUCCAUACAUACAGAUUUUGUUAUUCUUACCAAAUUCGGUUGUGAAAGUACUGCAUUUUUUUGUUAUUUUCUUCUAAUAUUAUGUUUUGGGAACAAAGUUGUUCCAAUUGUUGGAAUUUAUUGAUAAUAUUAUAUCCCUUGUUGAUUUGUUGAAUAAUUAAACUGGUGCUGUCAAAAAAUAUUAGUUAUGUUCUGUAAUAGACAUCAAAACAGACAUAGUAAGUCAUGCUGUGUCCAAACUUAUGGCCAUGGCUGUAAUGUACAAAUGCAUAACACACACGUGUAUUUUUGUGUACAACAUAAUUCUUUAUGCAUUCUAUUACAGUUUUGAUGUCUUCAGUAUUAGUCCACAAAAUAAAUAAAAGCCACUGAAUGAGAA